GGGAGGUAGUGACAAUAAAUAACAAUACGGGGUUCUUUCGGAUCUCGUAAUUGGAAUGAGUACAAUUUAAAUCUCUUAACGAGGAACAAUUGGAGGGCAAGUCUGGUGCCAGCAGCCGCGGUAAUUCCAGCUCCAAUAGCGUAUAUUAAAGUUGUUGCAGUUAAAAAGCUCGUAGUUGAAUUUCGGGAUCAAUUUAUCGGUCGUGCCUACGGUAUGAACUGGUACAAUUGGUUUCUCCCUUCUGACGAAGCAUGAUGUCAUUAAUUUGGUGUCGUGGGGAAUCAGGACUGUUACUUUGAAAAAAUUAGAGUGUUUAAAGCAAGCAUUAGCUUGAAUACAUUAGCAUGGAAUAAUGAAAUAGGACGUUUGAUCCUAUUUCGUUGGUUUCUAGGAUCGACGUAAUGAUUAAUAGGGAUAGUUGGG
Molecule: ribosomal RNA, 423 nt
Filed under: uncultured Glomeraceae
Lineage: Eukaryota; Fungi; Glomeromycota; Glomeromycetes; Glomerales; Glomeraceae
Description: SSU rRNA
Rfam family: Eukaryotic small subunit ribosomal RNA
Source: RNAcentral